Molecule: ribosomal RNA, 393 nt
Filed under: uncultured bacterium
Lineage: Bacteria
Description: partial 16S ribosomal RNA
Rfam family: Bacterial small subunit ribosomal RNA
Source: RNAcentral
AUACGGAGGAUGCGAGCGUUAUCCGGAUUUAUUGGGUUUAAAGGGUGCGCAGGCGGGCGAUUAAGUCAGCGGUGAAAGGCUCGGGCUCAACCGGAGCAGUGCCGUUGAUACUGGUUGUCUUGAAUGCUGUCAAGGCCGGCGGAAUGUGGCGUGUAGCGGUGAAAUGCAGAGAUAUGCCGCAGAACACCGAUAGCGAAGGCCGCUGGCCGGGCCUGCAUUGACGCUGAGGCACGAAAGCGUGGGGAUCGAACAGGAGUAGAUACCCUGGUAGUCCACGCUGUAAACGAUGGACACUCGUUGUCGGCGACAGACAGUCGGCGGCCAAGCGAAAGUGAUAAGUGUCCCACCUGGGGAGUACGGUCGCAAGGCUGAAACUCAAAUGAAUUGACGGGG